This 280-nucleotide ribosomal RNA is filed under the name Faecalibacterium prausnitzii. RNAcentral's name for it is "partial 16S ribosomal RNA". It matches the Rfam family "Bacterial small subunit ribosomal RNA", at positions 497 to 776 of the family's 1533-position model. Lineage: Bacteria; Bacillati; Bacillota; Clostridia; Eubacteriales; Oscillospiraceae. The record is from RNAcentral.
UAUGGUAUGUGCCAGCAGCCGCGGUAAAACGUAGGUCACAAGCGUUGUCCGGAAUUACUGGGUGUAAAGGGAGCGCAGGCGGGAAGACAAGUUGGAAGUGAAAUCUAUGGGCUCAACCCAUAAACUGCUUUCAAAACUGUUUUUCUUGAGUAGUGCAGAGGUAGGCGGAAUUCCCGGUGUAGCGGUGGAAUGCGUAGAUAUCGGGAGGAACACCAGUGGCGAAGGCGGCCUACUGGGCACCAACUGACGCUGAGGCUCGAAAGUGUGGGUAGCAAACAGG